Molecule: small nuclear RNA, 124 nt
Filed under: Zalophus californianus (California sea lion)
Lineage: Eukaryota; Metazoa; Chordata; Mammalia; Carnivora; Otariidae
Description: U4 spliceosomal RNA (ENSZCAG00015006817.1)
Rfam family: U4 spliceosomal RNA
About the family: U4 small nuclear RNA (U4 snRNA) is a component of the major U2-dependent spliceosome.
Source: RNAcentral
AGCUUUGCGCAGUGACAGUACGGUAGCCAAUGAGGUUUAUCCGAGGCGCGAUUAUUGCUAAUUAAAAUGCUCAGGUAACUAACUGACUAACAAAAAACAUUUGGGAAACUAUAUUUUCAUUAGC